RNAcentral lists this long non-coding RNA (1020 nucleotides) under Homo sapiens (human). Its description in RNAcentral is "long intergenic non-protein coding RNA 1608". The record is from RNAcentral. Lineage: Eukaryota; Metazoa; Chordata; Mammalia; Primates; Hominidae.
AUUCUGUUCAAAAGAGGAUUUGUUUGUGAUAUUCCUUUAAGAAUCUUUAUUUAUUCCCCCAACAGUUUCUUUUUCUGCAUCCGCUGCUCUGUUAAGUGAUCACCACAUUCAUUGUUCUCGUUUCUAUUAUUUCUGAAAAAAAUCUUCAGGAUUCUGCUUGUGGGAGUGGAUGACAUUUUUACAGUGUUUACAGGCUGAAAAUUUUUCGAGCUUUUAUGCUCUGCUUCCGUUAUAAGGAGGAGGCCUCACAAUCCUGGUGGAAGGCAAGGAGGAGCAAGUCACAUCUUAUGUGGAUGGCAGCAGGCAAAGAAAGCUUAUGCAGACACAAAAUGAACAAGAUGUCUGUGGCAACCCUCAGACCAUUGACGCCUUCUCUCCUAUGUAUCAAAUCACACAUUUGGACGUUGACUGAACCCUCACAUGUCAGAUGCUCAAUAUUGAGCUUUAUCUAUUCCAGAAUGUCAUAUAGCUGGUAUAAGAACCUGAAGAUUGGAUCUUCUGAGAACAUCAGAGAAAGACUGUCCUUGCCAUCCAUACUACAGCAAAACUUUGGGACCUUGAACUUUGGGUUCACAAUCUCACAACCAAGAAGGAUCCCUCUACAAUUUUGGAACAGUACACCCAUUGGAAACCUUAAGCAUUUCCUGAACAGGGAAAAGUUGAAAGCAUUCCCACUGAGAAAUGGAACAAGACAAGGAGGCCCACUCUUACCACUUCUGUUCGACAUAAUACUAGAAGUCCUAGACAGAGCUAUCAGAAAAGAGAAAGAAAUAAAUGGCAUUCAAAUCGGUAAAGAGGAAGUCAAACUGUUGCUAUUUGCUGGUGAUAUGAUCAUAUAUCAGAAAACUCUAAAGACUCCUCUAAAAAGUUCCUCAACUGGUAAAGGAAUUCAGGAGAGUUUCAGGAUACAAAAUUAAUGUACACAAAUCCAUUGCUCUGCUAUACACCAAUAGCAACCAAGCUGAGAAUCAAAUCAAGAACUCAACCCCUUUCACAAUAGCUGCAAAAAGUAAAAUAAAA